AGUGAACGCUGGCGGUAGGCCUAACACAUGCAAGUCGAACGGCAGCACAGUAAGAGCUUGCUCUUACGGGUGGCGAGUGGCGGACGGGUGAGGAAUACAUCGGAAUCUACUUUUUCGUGGAGGAUAACGUAGGGAAACUUACGCUAAUACCGCAUACGACCUACGGGUGAAAGCAGGGGAUCUUCGGACCUUGCGCGAUUGAAUGAGCCGAUGUCGGAUUAGCUAGUUGGCGGGGUAAAGGCCCACCAAGGCGAGGAUCCGUAGCUGGACUGAGAGGAUGGUCAGCCACAUGGGAACUGAGACACGGUCCAGACUCCUACGGGAGGCAGCAGUGGGGAAUAUUGGGCAAUGGGCGCAAGCCUGAUCCAGCCAUACCGCGUGGGUGAAGAAGGCCUUCGGGUUGUAAAGCCCUUUUGUUGGGAAAGAAAAGCAGCAGGUUAAUACCCCGCUGUUCUGACGGUACCCAAAGAAUAAGCACCGGCUAACUUCGUG
Molecule: ribosomal RNA, 492 nt
Filed under: uncultured bacterium
Lineage: Bacteria
Description: partial 16S ribosomal RNA
Rfam family: Bacterial small subunit ribosomal RNA
Source: RNAcentral